This 1135-nucleotide long non-coding RNA is filed under the name Theobroma cacao (cacao). RNAcentral's name for it is "long non-coding RNA (TCAC_LNC004703)". The record is from RNAcentral. Lineage: Eukaryota; Viridiplantae; Streptophyta; Magnoliopsida; Malvales; Malvaceae.
UUCCUUGUUCCGUCGUGACCAUCGCCUUCGCUUUCCCCUUCCCUGCCUCUCUAACCGCCGUCGAAAGUUUCGACGCCGUUCAAAUCUCUGUUCUUCAGGUCCAUGACUCCCUAAAUAUUGAAUCUGUGAGUCUCUUCUUCUUCUUUCUUUUUUUUUUUUUUUAAAUAAGAGUAUUAUUUUUGCUUGUGUUUUUUGUGUGGAUGCUAUUUUUAGGCUUUGGAAACUUGAAAAUCAGUGCAGAGAGUGGGGUACGAAACGAAACCGUUUUGAGAGCUAUUUGAAGCUCUCUCUCUCUCUUCUGAUUUCGUUAACUUUUGAGCCAUUUUUCGUACAAGUGUAAAUCUUCCGAAACGGUGAUUCUUUGUUUGUUAUAAAAGUAAGAUGAAAUUAUGCUCUCGAGUAGUUGAAGACUUUCACUUGUGGAAAUAUUCCUGACUUAAAUGUUUUUUUUGCAUUUAAUUUUAUUCUAAAGUUGGAGAAAGCCAGGUUUAUGCUUAAAUAAUUGAGGAAGAUGGUUUCUAGGUAGAAUUUUUGCUAUUAUUGUUUUAAUUUCAGCUUAACUCUGCUAUUUUGCGGCUACCAUGUUAAUUUUUACUUUUAUUUAUUUAUUUGUUGAUAAAUAAAGAAUGCAUAAUACUCCCAAGGAAUUUUCCUUAAUUUUAAUUGCAUUUUUAUUUUUUUAAAAUCAAUCUUCUUGGGCUUUCCUUUUUUGUUUAAUUUUUUUCUUUAGCUGCAAUAUUUUCCCUGAUUACUCUAUUUAGCCUAGUUUGGAUCUGGGGAAUAAUGAAGGAAAUGAAAUAAAAUAAUUGCUCUUAGAAGAUGAAACUUAGCAAGUAAACUGUGGUUAGCUUAGUUUGAAGUGUCUGUCCUUUGGGUUUGUUUAGUUGGUUUCAGUUGUUUGUUCAAUCCAUUAUCUUUGCAAUUUUUAAGUGUGAAUUCUAAAAUUUGCGCUGUGUUUUUUUUUCCGGGAAUUUCGCUGUUUAUCCUCUAUGCGGUACUUCGCCUUGAGGUUCGCAUAGCUUGAAUCAACGGUGCCAAUUCGUUAAAAAAUUUUUUUGGGGGGUAUAUGAGUGAUCAUGGGGUCCGCUUGUUGUGUUGCUGCAAAAGAGAGAACCCUUCCAAACAGAACUCGGAG